UCCCGAUAACCAUUCAAAUACAGAGAAAAUUCUCUAACUGCGAUGACAACUUCGAUAUUGAUUCUUCUAUUCCAUAGUUCAUCAUCUCAAUUGCUUCCGUCUUGAACGCACGGACAACAAUUUAGGUAGCUUCGACGAGGUCGAGUAGAACUACGGUAAAGCUUUUUUGCUUAGGCUUCGCUGGAUCUGUUCUGCUCAUCACGCUCACGGAGCUUGUCGAGGACGAAGGCUUGGAACAGGUGAGAGUUCAACGUCCACAGUAGAGAGGGAGCCAUGUCGCCUAAAUUAUUGUGCUCUGGUGCUCAGCAAACGACAGGCCAAAUCCCGGACUAAAAGAAACACUGCGAGUCGAGUUCGUCAUGUGCUAGUGUCCGUGAUUUGGAGCCUCAAACCACUCUCUUCUCCUCUUCCUUCCUCCCUCCUUCCCUCCCUUUGGCGCGCAAGCAAUCGCAGUCUCAU
RNAcentral lists this long non-coding RNA (459 nucleotides) under Musa acuminata (dwarf banana). RNAcentral's name for it is "long non-coding RNA (MACU_LNC000282)". The record is from RNAcentral. Lineage: Eukaryota; Viridiplantae; Streptophyta; Magnoliopsida; Zingiberales; Musaceae.